RNAcentral lists this transfer RNA (70 nucleotides) under Stenamma expolitum. Its description in RNAcentral is "tRNA-Tyr". The record is from RNAcentral. Lineage: Eukaryota; Metazoa; Arthropoda; Insecta; Hymenoptera; Formicidae.
AGUGCUAUGGCUGAUUUAGGUAAUAAAUUGUAAAUUUAUUUAAGAAAAUUAUUAAUAUUUUUUAGCAUUA